GACGAACGCUGGCGGCGUGCUUAACACAUGCAAGUCGAACGGAAAGGCCCUGCUUUUGUGGGUUGCUCGAGUGGCGAACGGGUGAGUAACACGUGAGUAACCUGCCCUUGACUUUGGGAUAACUUCAGGAAACUGGGGCUAAUACCGGAUAGGAGCUCCUGCUGCAUGGUGGGGGUUGGAAAGUUUCGGCGGUUGGGGAUGGACUCGCGGCUUAUCAGCUUGUUGGUGGGGUAGUGGCUGACCAAGGCUUUGACGGGUAGCCGGCCUGACAGGGUGACCGGCAACAUUGGGACUGAGAUACGGCCCAGACUCCUACGGGAGGCAGCAGUGGGGAAUAUUGCACAAUGGGCGGAAGCCUGAUGCAGCAACGCCGCGUGCGGGAUGACGGCCUUCGGGUUGUAAACCGCUUUCGCCUGUGACGAAGCGUGAGUGACGGUAAUGGGUAAAGAAGCACCGGCUAACUACGUG
This 468-nucleotide ribosomal RNA is filed under the name uncultured bacterium. RNAcentral describes it as "partial 16S ribosomal RNA". It matches the Rfam family "Bacterial small subunit ribosomal RNA", at positions 28 to 507 of the family's 1533-position model. The record is from RNAcentral.